UUAAUUACGUUUUUAGUGUUUCGAGAGUCCCAGUUGCCCAGAACCCUCUAUACGCUUAGUUUAUAAUCAAUUGACUUUUGCUUUGUUUGUCAACAUUACCGACCUUGCGGAAGGCAACAUGAGCUAACAAAAUGUUUUCGCCACCAGACUUCCCAGAGUGUUGCCACCUCAGGUCGCUCAAUGACAGGGAACACCUUCCUUAGUAAUGAAACCAAGGCCGGAAACCGAAAAUUAAAAAUUCGCGGGUCGCAAAACAGGUUGCUCUCCAGGGCGUGAACCCCUUCAAGCUUCCCAUUCUGUUGGGUUAAGGUUGUGGUAAUGAUCCUUCCGCAGGUUCACCUACGGAAA
Molecule: unclassified non-coding RNA, 348 nt
Filed under: uncultured fungus
Lineage: Eukaryota; Fungi
Description: sequence contains ITS1
Source: RNAcentral